RNAcentral lists this ribosomal RNA (248 nucleotides) under Aneugmenus kiotonis. Its description in RNAcentral is "partial 16S ribosomal RNA". Lineage: Eukaryota; Metazoa; Arthropoda; Insecta; Hymenoptera; Tenthredinidae. The record is from RNAcentral.
CUGUCUUUUUUUAAUUUUAAUUUGAACUUAAUUUUUAAGUUAAAAAGCUUAAAUUUUUUUAAAGGACGAGAAGACCCUAUAGAGUUUAAUAAUUUAUUAUUUUAUUAAUUUUAAUUUAUUAUUAUUAUAAUAAUAGAUUAUUUUAUUGGGGUGAUAGAAAAAUUAAAAAAACUUUUUUAUGUAUUUAACAAUAAUAUUUGAAUUUUAGAUCUUAAAUUUUAGAUUAAUAGAAUAAAUUACCUUAGGGA